RNAcentral lists this long non-coding RNA (482 nucleotides) under Coturnix japonica (Japanese quail). RNAcentral describes it as "lncRNA (ENSCJPG00005016452.1)". Lineage: Eukaryota; Metazoa; Chordata; Aves; Galliformes; Phasianidae. The record is from RNAcentral.
UUCCUCUAGUUACAUAUGCUCUGUGAAAUGAUGUCAAUGAACAGAAGACAACCAAGCCUGCUUUUCAUUUUCCUAACUCAUCCUUACAGUGUACCCUGUUUCACCUCCCAGCAAACUGCAAGUGAUUAUCACCUUCAAUUGAACUGAAGGAGACAGCGAGGCAGACUCACAUACAUUAAUGAAGUCUGUUCAGUAGACUACACCCUGAAUGACAUACAACCACUGAGUUACUGACAUGACUUCCUGCAUCGGUGAUAGCAUUCAGUGCAUCAACUGUAUUUCUGAAUUCUAUGUAGUAUUCACAGCAUCCAGAAUAUCACUUCAACCAAGAUUCAUCACCUUUCAAAUGAGAAACAUCAGCUGAUUGAAUUAGGUACAUUAAGAACUGAAUCAAAUGCGUACUGCAUUAAAUCAUUCAAUGAAAUCAGCUUGUAUUAUAGAAUAUUGCAUUUCUGGAUUUAUUGCCUGGAUUGCCUGCAUCU